CACACACACACACACACACACACACAGAGCGUUGAAAUAGUUGGUUCUUCUUUUUCCGGUAGUCAAUCAGAUUUUAGAUUUACCGCUGAACACCUUCUCGAAGGCCUGGUGAUGAGCGAGUUUCUUCGUCCUCUCAUUGGUUCAGCUAUGUUUGGCUUCUGGUUGGUUGAGUUCGAUGUGCAUCAAAGCUCGAUUUAUGACGGCGGACGAUGUCAGCCCAUAAUUAAAAAUUCACUUUCAACGUGCACUUUUCAAGAAAAUGUGGACUUGAUGAGAUUAGCUCAACCAAAACUCUUGCUGGCUUGUUUCAAUUCAAUUCUUUUUUUGGGGGAGGCCACUUUCAGAGUAGCUGGAGUAUCCCAGGGUGGAAAAACAAACUUCAGCCAUGAGUCAAACCUCAAAUCUUGCUGUAAGACAGCAUUGCUAACUACUGUUUUACUGUGCCGCAAAAACCUAACUGGCCUUAGAAAUCAAGCCCUGGUUGAGUAUUACAUAUCAGAAGUGUAAUGCAUGUACGCUGUGGAACAUGCCGUUCUGUAUAUCUUCUUAAAAAAACACAGCAUUGCUACCUUCUUGUUCUGACUGUGUAAGACUGCCUAUUUUGCCUUCUGAUAUUAAUGAGCUAAAAGACCCGCAGAUCACUCACUGUGAGGGGAAUCCCAACUUGUUUGGCUCUGUACACUCUGACUCAUGUUGAGGUGAAAAGUGGAAAUGGCGGCUCCUGUUUUGUUUCCCAAUCUGUCAUCUACUCCACUCGUCUCUUCCUAAUCAUGUGCUGUUGCUAUACUCUACUGUCAAAUAACUGUGAGGGAGAUUUUUUUCCCAAGUAGAGUCGGGAGAACAUUUGUGGCUUCCAGAUACUAUCCAAUAAAAGCAGACCGCUAGAGCUCAUUCUCUGUCUUCUCUUGCUUGUGUUUUAACUGUUUCUCAUAUGAACUCUGGCUUGAGUUGGGGUUGGCCGAUGUCAAGUCCUGGAGUGGAUAAUCUGGAGCACCGGGAGAACACCAGGUCUGGGUGUGUUUGUCAGAGAAGAACAGAGAUGAGGUACUGGCUGAAAGCGAUGUGAAUGCAAUGUCCUCCAGCUGUAAGAUAGAGAAGAUGGCCCACGCGAGACUAUCCAAUCCUAUAGAGAGUUGGGCCGCACAAUCAGGCGGUGUUGGAUUUAAUGGAAAGUGAUUUCUCCCACGAAGACCUCGGGGACACCCAAGCAAGCAUGUGUUACAUCCCUCCCCCACGUGCCUUUGCUCCUCUCUGAGAAAGGCAGGAUGCUGCAAUACCUCCAGAAUGAAGUGAUGGUGCCUUUGGGCUUCUAAGCCAUUUGAAAUGCAACCAAACAAGGUCUCCAAGGAAAGCUUUGAAACAAUAGCACUCCUUUUUUCUGGGCAUUAAUUCAAGUAAGCAUCAUUUUUUUUCCUCCCCCCUGUGAAACAGCUCCGGCAGGACCCAUCAAAUAAAGUUUAACACAGACAAAGAGCAUGUUUAGUUCAAAUCCUAAGCGAAAUAAGCCGCUUACUGGUGUGAUGUGAACAUAUAUUUCUCUUAGUAUCUGUGGAAUAAGUGUACAGCACCAACUGCAAUCCCAUCAUAAUUGUUGGAUGUUUUCUGAUGGAUUAUUACUUGGAUAGACAGCUUGGAGUAACACAGUUAUUGGCAGAGCUAUUGUUUGCGUAUCUCUGCGAAGGAAGAAAGACAGCCAGGAGUCUCAUGAAUUUAUAACAUCAUUGUGGGUGUGGAAUGCAGCUUUUUUUUCCCCUUCCACGAGUAUGAACAAUGUCUCUUUUGUCAUCCACUAAUUUCUUACCUAAAUUAUUUUCAGAAUUCUAACAAGAUGAAUAUCUAUCAAUUGCAGUAAGCUGUCAUUUGAAAAGAAAAUGUCCAAAGACCACAGGAAAUUGGUUGAUUUUUACCACCAUGUGUGAGAUACCUGAGAAUAUUCUCAUUCAUCCAUUCUCAAGGCAUUUCAUUUCUCACAACUGGACUGUUCUGGUUGUUUUAGAAGAUGGUUUGCCUUUUAUCUGAGUAAGCUUCAUCAUUCAUGCUUCCCUAGCCUGAGUGUUUGGGUGGAAUCCCAACAAUUUAUCCCCAAAGUUAGGCCCAGUCCAGAUGGAAAUUGAGCCAAACUUUUCUUAUUCUCUUUUUUUUUUAAGUUUCCUGUAAACACAGAAUGCUUCUAGAAAUAUGUCCUAAAACCGUGCAGUAUAAAAGCUAGGUCUGAAGUGGCUUUGUAACACUGCCACAGCCUAAUAUACAACCUUUCCGGCUUGUCAAUGUAUCGAAUGUCAUUUUCAUGAAAGUGAGAUGUGAAUUCACUUGGAUGGAACAUUGACUGAGAAAAACUCAUUUUAUCACUGCUCUCCAUGGUAAAUCCUUCGCCUGCCACUCCUACUAUCCUGCCAACAUGACUGCGUAAACAAAUGCACGCGGGGAUCAGCCACGUGAUGUCCAGAGCUCUGGUAGACCCAGGAGGAAAGGCAAAUAGCGUGUAUCCGUGUCGUGCUUCUAAGUGCUAUGGCCAAACAUUGGCCUGGUAUGAACAUGACAGCAUUUUAGGUAAUUUCCGCAAGUCCAUGUUAACAGGAAUUGCUUGACAUAAACCUUUUCACUCGGUUGUUGUUUGUUGAAACAUAGAAAAGGUCAGUGCCUCGGGGAACGGCUUAGGAGAGACAGCACAGGCUACAGUCAUUGGCUCUCACGACAUACAUUUCAAAUUGUGAUGGCCUUUGAUGUUCGCCCUCUGCAGAAACAUGACGCUAUCAACAAACUGCAGCUAAGUGGGCAUGUCAUUGCAACCCCUGCUAGCGUUUCCUCCCUUGGGGUUCCCUCACACGAUCCUCCCUGAAGACAGUCUGUUUCACUCUCAUCACCUGUCUUAGUGUCACUGGUGAUGGACUGAUGAACGGCUGGAUGGAUCCAUGCAUGUACAUAUAUGUCAGGGUGUUGUCUGCAGGGGAAAUAAGUCACAUCUCAAGAAGUUCAAUAAAUGCCGGCAAGGUCUGGUCAGAUUUCACACACUCACACACUAAAGAUAUUGGGUCCCAGCGAGGUUAAAUAAUGCCUUGGCUAAAAACUCAUUUAGUGUAUCACCAUUACAUAAAAGUGUGCUGAUUGACAUUAGGCUCAUCAAACAGGACAAACAUAUACACCGGAAGCUCUUUUACAAAGUAAUUGGUCAAAAUUGCCUGAAAAGUUCUUUAUAGACGACUGUUAAUUCCUCCAUUGCUGCUUAUCAUCACUGAAAGGUUUACUUGGAGCUGCUAGGUGCAACAGCCGUGUAACAUUCCUGACCUAAAACGGCUGUUAAGGAGACGCCAGUGAAUUAAUGUUACUCAUGUGUACACAGCCCAAACCGAAUUCCUGCAGCCUCUUAAACCCUCUUUCUUCGUAAAUCUGUCAAAUCUCGCUCCAAAAGUGUCCAAAUUCCCCCACUGAGCAAUUAAACAAAGGCUAUUUCAGUCAGCGCCACUCACAAAGAGAAGGUUCAAAAGGCCCUGCUGUACUACCAUUAAUACACAUAACCAGUGUUGCCAGUUACCUUGAAAAAGUAACUUAGUCAUACCUUAGCCA
Hippocampus comes (tiger tail seahorse) is the source of this 3564-nucleotide long non-coding RNA. RefSeq lists it as uncharacterized. NCBI's taxonomy places the organism in Eukaryota, Metazoa, Chordata, Actinopteri, Syngnathiformes, Syngnathidae. The transcript has 3 exons. The record is from RefSeq and is a predicted model, not a curated record.